GCAAAAAAAAACACACACAUAUAUAUAUAUAUACUUCGUAACAUUGUAAUUUUCAUUGAAAACAUAAUAAACACAAUAAUAAUUUAUAGUAGGUGGGAAAAAAUCCAAUCCGAAAAACCUCAUGCCCCCCUUCCCCCCCUCCCGCAUUUAAUGUACACAUUAAUAAUGUUCGUUGAUAUCAGAAUCCGCCGUCGUAAAAUUAUACGUACACAUAUAUUAUAAAAUAUACACGCCCGUGUAACAGCAGGUUUAUUAUUACGCACACGUUAUGUUCGACUAUUUAUGGAAAAAAUAAAUAUAAUAACGAUAAAAAAAUAAAAAAAAAAAUAGGAUUAAACAUCGCGUACAUAUUAGAGACCCGCGAGAACGUAUACACAUUAGAAAAAAAAAAUAAAUAAAAAUACGAUCGUGUUGACCGAAGGAAAGCGUCCCCCCACCCCCCGAAACCCGCGUUCGGACGGGGACGUCAGUGCCAUAAAAACAAACAAAACAAAUAUCUAAUAUGUUAACGCCCUCAAAAACAAAAAAAACCAAAAAAACGCACCGCAUCACACACGCGCAAUUCGACGGGAAAAACGGCAAACCGCGGCCCGCUCGCGUUCGCAAUAUCGUACAAGAUGAAAAGAAAACUCUCGCUUCGUACCAAAGUCCGCCGUUUUUUCCCGUCCACGCAAAUGUCAUAAC
This is a non-coding RNA of Cinara cedri, 684 nucleotides long. The record is from the annotation of a GenBank genome assembly. NCBI's taxonomy places the organism in Eukaryota, Metazoa, Arthropoda, Insecta, Hemiptera, Aphididae.